AACAGAGUAGUUUAUAAAGAAUGAUGGGUUUGCGUCUCAUUGGAGGCUGUGUUCUCUGUUG
This 61-nucleotide transfer RNA is filed under the name Atractolytocestus huronensis. Its description in RNAcentral is "tRNA-Ala". Lineage: Eukaryota; Metazoa; Platyhelminthes; Cestoda; Caryophyllidea; Lytocestidae. The record is from RNAcentral.